This 253-nucleotide ribosomal RNA is filed under the name uncultured bacterium. RNAcentral describes it as "partial 16S ribosomal RNA". It matches the Rfam family "Bacterial small subunit ribosomal RNA", at positions 524 to 776 of the family's 1533-position model. The record is from RNAcentral.
UACGGGGGGGGCAAGCGUUGUCCGGAAUUACUGGGCGUAAAGCGCGCGUAGGCGGACCUGCAAGUCGGGGGUGAAAGCCCGAGGCUCAACCUCGGAACUGCCUUCGAUACUGCGGGUCUCGAGUCCGGGAGAGGUGAGUGGAAUUCCUAGUGUAGAGGUGAAAUUCGUAGAUAUUAGGAAGAACACCAGUGGCGAAGGCGGCUCACUGGCCCGGUACUGACGCUGAGGCGCGAAAGCGUGGGGAGCAAACAGG